GAGAGGUGCUGCAUGGCUGUCGUCAGCUCGUGUUGUGAAAUGUUGUGUUAAGUCUCGCAACGAGCGCAACCCCUAUCGUCUGUUGCCAGCAUUAAGUUGGGCACUCUGACGAGACUGCCUGGGUUAACCAGGAGGAAGGUGGGGAUGACGUCAAGUCCUCAUGGCCCUUAUGUCUAGGGCUACACAUGUAAUACAAUGGCGCGUACAAAGGGAAGCGAACUCGCAAGGGGGAGCAAAUCUCAAAAAGCGCGUCUCAGUCCGGAUUGGAGUCUGCAACUCGACUCCAUGAAGUCGGAAUCGCUAGUA
RNAcentral lists this ribosomal RNA (306 nucleotides) under uncultured Peredibacter sp. RNAcentral describes it as "bacterial SSU rRNA". It matches the Rfam family "Bacterial small subunit ribosomal RNA", at positions 1033 to 1340 of the family's 1533-position model. Lineage: Bacteria; Pseudomonadati; Bdellovibrionota; Bacteriovoracia; Bacteriovoracales; Bacteriovoracaceae. The record is from RNAcentral.